UAACAAGCCAGUUACAUCUACAAUCAACCAUAAACUAUGUUAAUGAGGACACUGGAAGGAGGUGUUGGGUGGGCUAAAAUGUUAAAGGAGCAAAGAAGUCCCUUGUCUCCGAGAAGUGAGUGUUUCUGUGCUUCUGCCAUUUCAAAGAUACAUUUCGAAGAGACUCUAAUCCCACCAUCUGAGACAAGGAGUCACUGUCUCACACCCCUUUGGAAAACAUAAACACUCUGAAAUUCCUACCCAGAAUUUGCUUUGAAGACAAUGGCCCGGGAGAAACCGAAAACACUGAAAAUGGGGCCAGAAGUGAUAAAUAAGGACUGCCAAAAACCCAAACAAAACAGAAAGUCAAUGAGUUCCUCCACCAAGUCAAAUCCAUAGUCACUUUGUAACAAUUCUGAAGGUUGAAUUGGAGGCAUACAAUAGUGAGCUAACCUGCAAGGUUUGCCUGCAAUGGAUAAGAGAGUUUUCUUUCCCCUUUAUACAAUUAAACAGCUGAGAGAAUUGUAUCUCUUGGU
Onychomys torridus (southern grasshopper mouse) is the source of this 515-nucleotide long non-coding RNA. RefSeq lists it as uncharacterized. NCBI's taxonomy places the organism in Eukaryota, Metazoa, Chordata, Mammalia, Rodentia, Cricetidae. The transcript is spliced from 3 exons. The record is from RefSeq and is a predicted model, not a curated record.